UGCAAGUCGAGCGGAAACGACACCUUCGGGUGGGCGUCGAGCGGCGGACGGGUGAGUAACGCAUAGGAAUCUGCCCGGUCGUGGGGGAUAACCUGGGGAAACUCAGGCUAAUACCGCAUACGUCCUACGGGAGAAAGGGGGCUCCGGCUCCCGCGAUCGGAUGAGCCUAUGUCGGAUUAGCCGGCUGGUGAGGUAACGGCUCACCAGGGCGACGAUCCGUAGCUGGUUUGAGAGGAUGAUCAGCCACACCGGGACUGAGACACGGCCCGGACUCCUACGGGAGGCAGCAGUGGGGAAUAUUGGACAAUGGGCGCAAGCCUGAUCCAGCCAUGCCGCGUGUGUGAAGAAGGCUUUCGGGUUGUAAAGCACUUUCAGUGAGGAAGAACGCUGUCGGGUUAAUACCCCGGCAGAGAGACAUCACUCACAGAAGAAGCACCGGCUAACUCCGUGCCAGCAGCCGCGGUAAUACGGAGGGUGCAAGCGUUAAUCGGAAUGACUGGGCGUAAAGCGCGCGUAGGCGGCACGAUCAGCCGGUUGUGAAAGCCCCGGGCUCAACCCGGGAACCGCAUCCGGAACUGUCGCGCUGGAGUGCAGGAGAGGAAGGUAGAAUUCCCGGUGUAGCGGUGAAAUGCGUAGAGAUCGGGAGGAAUACCAGUGGCGAAGGCGGCCUUCUGGACUGACACUGACGCUGAGGCGCGAAAGCAUGGGUAGCAAACAGGAUUAGAUACCCUGGUAGUCCAUGCCGUAAACGAUGUCGACCAGCCGUUGGGGUCCUGGAGACCCUUGUGGCGAAGUUAACGCGAUAAGUCGACCGCCUGGGGAGUACGGCCGCAAGGUUAAAACUCAAAUGAAUUGACCGGGGCCCGCACAAGCGGUGGAACAUGUGGUUUAAUUCGAUGCAACGCGAAGAACCUUACCUACCCUUGACAUCCUGCGAACCCGGAAGAGAUUCCGGGNGCCUUCGGGANCCCANGAACAGGUGCUGCAUGGCUGUCGUCACCUCC
This 1004-nucleotide ribosomal RNA is filed under the name Vreelandella jeotgali. RNAcentral's name for it is "bacterial SSU rRNA". It matches the Rfam family "Bacterial small subunit ribosomal RNA", at positions 56 to 1062 of the family's 1533-position model. Lineage: Bacteria; Pseudomonadati; Pseudomonadota; Gammaproteobacteria; Oceanospirillales; Halomonadaceae. The record is from RNAcentral.